GACGAACGCUGGCGGCGUGCUUAACACAUGCAAGUCGAACGAUGAAGCCGCUUCGGUGGUGGAUUAGUGGCGAACGGGUGAGUAACACGUGGGCAAUCUGCCCUGCACUCUGGGACAAGCCCUGGAAACGGGGUCUAAUACCGGAUAUGACCAUCGGCCGCAUGGCCUGGUGGUGGAAAGCUCUGGUGGUGCAGGAUGAGCCCGCGGCCUAUCAGCUUGUUGGGGGGGUGAUGGCCUACCAAGGCGACGCCGGGUAGCCGGCCUGAGAGGCGGCCGGCGACACUGGGACAGAGACACGGCCCAGACUCCUACGGGAGGCAGCAGUGGGGAAUAUUGCACAAUGGGCGCAAGCCUGAUGCAGCGACGCCGCGUGAGGGAUGACGGCCUUCGGGUUGUAAACCUCUUUCAGCAGGGAAGAAGCUUUCGGGUGACGGUACCUGCAGAAGAAGCACCGGCUAACUACGUGCCAGCCGCCGCAGUAA
RNAcentral lists this ribosomal RNA (482 nucleotides) under uncultured bacterium. RNAcentral describes it as "partial 16S ribosomal RNA". It matches the Rfam family "Bacterial small subunit ribosomal RNA", at positions 28 to 523 of the family's 1533-position model. The record is from RNAcentral.